Molecule: long non-coding RNA, 173 nt
Filed under: Apteryx owenii (little spotted kiwi)
Lineage: Eukaryota; Metazoa; Chordata; Aves; Apterygiformes; Apterygidae
Description: lncRNA (ENSAOWG00000018822.1)
Source: RNAcentral
GGUCGCGCCGGGCCCGCCGCUGGGGGGGAGGUGCCGCGCCCGGCGGCCGCCUCGGAGUACCCGGCGGCCGCUGCGACAGUGACGCCUCCCGGUUUAUGGAGAAAUCGGGGCUUCUCGUUCCAGGCGAAAUAAAUCUGUGUGAUGAGGAUGCUGUGCUUGGCAUGCAGCGCUGA